CACCAGGUUGAUUCUGCCUGACGUGGACGCUUGUUUCAAGGAUUUAGCCAUGCAUGUCUAAGCGAAGCCUUUGAGUGAAGCUGCGAAUGGCUCAGUAAUACAGUUACUAUUUACUCGGUGGUAAUAAAUGGAUAACCAUGGUAACCUAUGGCUAAUACAUGGAUAAGAUUAUCUUUCAAUGAAUUGGGAUAAUAUUACAGCGUUUAGCGACACCGACUAAGUUUCUGGCCUAUCAGCUAACAGAAGGUAAGGUAAGGGCCUACCUUUGCGAUGACGGGUAACGGGGGAUCGGGGUUUGAUUCCGGAGAGGGAGCCUGAGAAAUGGCUGCUACGUCCAAGGAUGGCAGCAGGCGCGAAAAUUACCCAAUCCCGACAUGGGGAGGUAGUGACGAAACGUACGAGCAUUUAAAUAUGCAGAAUGAGCGCAGGGUAAAUAACUGUGUGAUUAACGACUGGAGGGCAAGUCUGGUGCCAGCAGCCGCGGUAAUUCCAGCUCCAGUAGCGUCUAUGUGUGUUGCUGCAGUUAAAAAGUCCGUAGUUGAUCUGAAGAGAAUGAUAUAACUGUACGCGAGUAUGGAUAUUCAUUUUCGUAUUACUGUGAGUAAAUUACGGUGUUCAAAGCAGGUAUUUUUAGCCUGAGUACGUUAGCAUGGAAUAACAAGGAAUUGUUUGGUUUUAAUUAGACAAUGAGAUUGAUAGGAGCAGUUGGGGGCGAUAGUAUUCUACAGUUAGAGGUGAAAUUCGAUGACCUGUGGAGGACUAACAGAAGCGAAGGCGUUCGUCAGGGAUGCAUUCGUUAAUCAAGGACGUAAGCCGGAGGAUCGAAGGCGAUUAGAGACCGUCGUAGUUCCGGCCGUAAACUAUGCCGACAGGGUGAGGUUAAAUAAUUAUAAGAUUUAGCUGUGCCUGAAGAGAAAUCAAGAGUUUUUGGGCUCUGGGGAAAGUACGAACGCAAGUUUGAAACUUAAAUCGAAAUUGACGGAAGGACACCACAAGGAGUGGAGCGUGCGGCUUAAUUUGACUCAACGCGGGACAACUCACCAGGGCCGAAUGGCAAAGAGAUUGACAUGAUGAGGAUCAUAUCAAGAUAUGUCAGAAAGUGGUGCAUGGCCGUUCUCAACACGUGGGGUGACCUGUCUGGUUAAUUCCGAUAACGCGUGAGACCCUUAGGUGGAGGAAACUAAACCGACGGGAGGCGAAGAGCCUCAGGAAGCGGGGGGCGAUAACAGGUCUGUGAUGCCCUUAGAUGUUCUGGGUUGCACGCGCGCUACAAUUGUACAUGUAAAAGGAGUAUACUUGAAAGAGUAGAAAAGGUUAAUAUGUACGGAAGCAGGGAUAGACUGUUGUAAAAGAGUCUUGAACGAGGAAUUCCUAGUAAUCGUGACUCACUAUGUCGCGAUGAAUGAGUCCCUGUCCUUUGUACACACCGCCCGUCGUUAUCUAAGAUGGAUGUGAGGGUGAAAUGGCUGGAAAAGAAUAAUAUUCUUUGAAGGCAGUUAAAUCCUUGCAACUAGAUUGGAUACAAGUCGUAACAAGGUAACC
This 1542-nucleotide ribosomal RNA is filed under the name Naidispora caidianensis. RNAcentral's name for it is "SSU rRNA". It matches the Rfam family "Eukaryotic small subunit ribosomal RNA". Lineage: Eukaryota; Fungi; Microsporidia. The record is from RNAcentral.